Molecule: ribosomal RNA, 2898 nt
Filed under: Stenotrophobium rhamnosiphilum
Lineage: Bacteria; Pseudomonadati; Pseudomonadota; Gammaproteobacteria; Nevskiales; Nevskiaceae
Description: bacterial LSU rRNA
Rfam family: Bacterial large subunit ribosomal RNA
Source: RNAcentral
GUUAUAUGAUCAAGCGACCAAGCGCAUCUGGUGGAUGCCUUGGCGGCAACAGGCGAUGAAGGACGUAGUAGUCUGCGAUAAGCUUCGGGGAGCUGACAAACAAGCUUUGAUCCGAAGAUUUCCGAAUGGGAAAACCCGGCACGCAAGUGUCAUCUUUAACUGAAUACAUAGGUUAUUGAAGCUAACGCGGUGAACUGAAACAUCUAAGUAACCGUAGGAAAAGAAAUCAACCGAGAUUCCGCAAGUAGUGGCGAGCGAACGCGGAUCAGCCCUUAAGUGUAUGAAACAUAGCAGAACAGUCUGGAAAGGCUGGCCAUAGUGGGUGAUAGCCCCGUAUGCGAAAUGCCAAAUACAUGAAAUUGAGUAAGGCGAGGCACGUGAAACCUUGUCUGAAUAUGGGGGGACCAUCCUCCAAGGCUAAAUACUCGUUGCCGACCGAUAGUGAACCAGUACCGUGAGGGAAAGGCGAAAAGAACCCCGGAGAGGGGAGUGAAAUAGAACCUGAAACCGGAUGCGUACAAGCAGUCAGAGCAGACUUGUUCUGUGAUGGCGUACCUUUUGUAUAAUGGGUCAGCGACUUACUAGUCUGUUGCGAGGCUAACCGUUUAGGGGAGCCGUAGGGAAACCGAGUCUUAAUAGGGCGAUUAGUAGCAGGCUGUAGACCCGAAACCCGUCGAUCUAUCCAUGAACAGGGUGAAGUUGUGGUAACACACAAUGGAGGCCCGAACGUACUACUGUUGAAAAAGUAAGCGAUGAUUUGUGGAUAGGAGUGAAAGGCUAAUCAAGGCGGGUGAUAGCUGGUUCUCCUCGAAAGCUAUUUAGGUAGCGCCUCGUGUAUAACUGUAGGGGGUAGAGCACUGUUACGGUCUGGGGGGAGCACAAGUUCCUACCCAACUGUUGCAAACUCCGAAUACCUACAAGUUCAGCACGGGAGACACACGGUGGGAGCUAAAUUUCAUCGUGAAAAGGGAAACAACCCUGACCGCCAGCUAAGGUCCCAAAAUUUCAGCUAAGUGGUAAACGAUGUGGGAAGUCAUAGACAGCCAGGAUGUUGGCUUAGAAGCAGCCAUCAUUUAAAGAAAGCGUAAUAGCUCACUGGUCGAGUCGGCCUGCGCGGAAGAUGUAACGGGGCUCAAGCUGAAUACCGAAGCUGCGGAUUUGCAAUUUAUUGCAAGUGGUAGAGGAGCGUUCUGUAAGCCUGUGAAGGUGACUCGUAAGGGUUGCUGGAGGUAUCAGAAGUGCGAAUGCUGACAUGAGUAACGAUAAUGACGGUGAAAAACCGUCACGCCGUAAGCCCAAGGGUUCCAGCGCAACGUUAUUCGGCGCUGGGUGAGUCGGAUCCUAAGGCGAGGCCGAGAGGCGUAGUCGAUGGAAAGCAGGUUAAUAUUCCUGCACUUGUUGUUACUGCGAUGGGAUGACGGAGAAGGUUAGGUCAGCCACCUGUUGGAUGGUGGUUUAAGCACGUAGGUAGGUCUCUUAGGCAAAUCCGGGAGAUUAUUUCUGAAAUGUGACGACGAGGCCCUUUAGGGCUGAAGUGAUUGAUACCCAGCUCCCAAGAAAAGUCUCUAAGCUCCAGGUAACAAGAAUCCGUACCCUAAACCGACACAGGUGGGCGAGGAGAGUAUCCUAAGGCGUUUGAGACAACUCGGAUGAAGGAACUCGGCAAAUUUGUACCGUAACUUCGGGAUAAGGUACGCCCUCAUUAGGUGUUAAAGCCGAAGAGGGCCGCAGUGAAGAGGGGGUUGCGACUGUUUAUCAAAAACACAGGACUCUGCAAACACGAAAGUGGACGUAUAGGGUCUGACGCCUGCCCGGUGCUGGAAGGUUAAUUGAUGGGGUUAGUCGUAAGACGAAGCUCUUGAUCGAAGCCCCAGUAAACGGCGGCCGUAACUAUAACGGUCCUAAGGUAGCGAAAUUCCUUGUCGGGUAAGUUCCGACCUGCACGAAUGGCGUAACGAUAGCCCCACUGUCUCCAUCCGAGGCUCAGUGAAAUUGAAAUCGCUGUGACGAUGCAGUGUUCCCGCGGCAAGACGGAAAGACCCCGUGAACCUUUACUAUAACUUUACACUGGAUUUUGAGUUUGUUUGUGUAGGAUAGGUGGGAGCCUUUGAAGCACUGGCGCUAGCUGGUGUGGAGGCGUCCUUGAAAUACCACCCUGAUAAACUCGAAGUUCUAACCUCGCUCCAUUAUCUGGAGUAGGGACAUUGUAUGGCGGGUAGUUUGACUGGGGCGGUCUCCUCCCAAAGAGUAACGGAGGAGUGCGAAGGUUAGCUCAGCGCGGUCGGAAAUCGCGCUCUUGAGUGCAUAGGCAUAAGCUAGCUUGACUGCGAGACAAACAAGUCGAGCAGGUACGAAAGUAGGUCUAAGUGAUCCGGUGGUUCUGUAUGGAAGGGCCAUCGCUCAACGGAUAAAAGGUACUCCGGGGAUAACAGGCUGAUACUGCCCAAGAGUCCAUAUCGACGGCAGUGUUUGGCACCUCGAUGUCGGCUCAUCUCAUCCUGGGGCUGUAGCAGGUCCCAAGGGUCUGGCUGUUCGCCAGUUAAAGAGGUACGCGAGCUGGGUUCAGAACGUCGUGAGACAGUUCGGUCCCUAUCUGCCGUGGGCGUUUGAUAUUUGAAAGGAGUUGACCUUAGUACGAGAGGACCGGGUUGAACGAAUCUCUGGUGUUCCGGUUGUCACGCCAGUGGCAUCGCCGGGUAGCUAUAUUCGGACGGGAUAACCGCUGAAAGCAUCUAAGCGGGAAGCCCACCUUAAGAUUAGAUAUCACGAGUCUUUAAGACUCCUAAAGUGCCCAAGUAGACUAUUUGGUUGAUAGGUGAGGUGUGGAAGUGCGGCAACGCAUGAAGCUAACUCAUACUAAUUGCACGUGCGGCUUGAUCAUAUAACGCUCAAGCAUUU